UCCCUGGUGGCUCAGACGGUAAAGCAUCUGCCUACAAUGCAGGAGACCCGGGUUUGAUCCCUGGGUCGGGAA
Non-coding RNA from Bos taurus (domestic cattle), 72 nucleotides. The record is from Rfam. NCBI's taxonomy places the organism in Eukaryota, Metazoa, Chordata, Mammalia, Artiodactyla, Bovidae.